AAGGGAGGAAAAUUAAAGCACUGCAAAAAAACCCCAUUAUUGCAUGACAACACAAGGGAAAAAUUGGUUAAAUUUUGCCCCCCUAUUUCCCCAAAUCUGACUCUGGCCCCUUACACAUGACAGAGGUGAACAAGGCAAAGCUGGGAGCAGCUUCCAGCUGAGGUAGCUUUUACAGGGAACUGAGCACACGAACAGCGGUGGUUCAAGGGCAGGCAGCUUCACCCCGUGCCACCCCCCAGCACUCCUUUCUCCUUGCCAGGAAGGCAGCAUGGCCACAGCAGCCACACAAAACCCCUGUGCUGACACUGGCCAGAGCUUCCUCUCUUGGUGUUGAAGGGACAAGAACCCCUCAGGAGGCAAUGGGUGAGCCACCACAGGCUGUGGUCAUGAAGACUUUUGGAGGACCGGAUGAGACCUGUGAGGGCCUGGAUUGGUUUUGGACAGAAUAUAGAGAGGAAUGGCAACAGUGAAGGGAAAAGGAGAACCGUGGGGGAAGAGAUGAGUGAAGCCAAGCGGCGCCGCAUUGAGGCUGAGUUUGAGCGGCUGUUCCGGCUGCUGGCGGAGCAGGAGCGCACCAUGCUGGGGUGGCUGGCUGGGCUGGACGACACCUUCACAGCUACCCAUGCCAAAAAAUCAUUGCGGGUGGCUGAGGGGGUUGCACAGCUCUACAGACUCAUCGUGCAGCUGGAGUCCAGCUUGAGUGAAAUGAGGCUCCACCUCCCUUCGGGGCUUCCCAAGGAGCUGGAGAAGAGCCUGAGCUCCUGCUGCCACCAAAGUGAUGCUCUGUGGGAGGCCCUGGAGAACUUCAGAGGUCAUGAAUUAAAGAAAAAAACAAAACAAAAAACCGCCCCCGGUUUUCCUUUUGUGCUCGCACGUGCGCGUGUGUGUGUGUGUAUGCAUAGGCUAAAUUUUAAGGUGCGGAGUGGCGGACCUGUCCCGGGGCCUAAACUCUACGGCCUUGACUGAGAAGACCACUUCCCGCUCCUGCCCGCCGCUGGAAGCGGCUGCCGGCUCUGGCUGUCGUCACUCGGCUGCCCUCACGCGUCCAUUCACAUGUCGCCCCCGGCCUCGGUGCGGCCCCUCUGCCGCCGCCCCGCCCGUACCGCCGUGCAGCUCCCAGAGCCUGGGCAGCGACCAGAGCGGCUCGCACCGCACCACCCGCUCGGUGCGCCUCUUGUAGCGCCGUCUCGCCCUCAGGGCAGAUUUUCUGGUGACUCUGGCACCGGCACGGCUCGGUUCGGCUCCGGUAUCGCCGCCUCGGCCGUCCCACGGCGCAGCUCUUUGAGACGCGGGGCAGCGGCCACCCCGACGGGCAGCUAACGCCGACGUGUGUUUUGUGUACCGCAAGCGCAGCUUUUCAAGCUCUGUCUAGCAGGAGACAAGAAACCAAUGAAUUAUUCCCGAGACAUCGAGAGCUGGACCGUCUUCCAUCUGAUAGCUUUAUCCUGAGUCCAGAGAAGCUUUGGGACUCACUUGAUUAACAAAAGGACAAAGAACAUCCUGGCCUGCGGCGAGAAAGAGAGUAUAAGAACCGGACUCGGACACGGCUGUGGUGUGCCACUACCACUCUGAUGCAUGCAGGGGCUCAGAGCUGUGAACGUGUGUCACCCAGAGCCUAAGUCCUGGGCUAGGCUCUGUCCGAUUCGUAGCUGACCCAGAUUUUGUCAUUCAAACGCGAAAUAAAUUUUAUACUUUGUUAUUUUUAUCAUAAUUUGGCUCUCACAAAUUAUUGAUUCGAUUUAAUUGGCAAUUACGUUUAUAAUAUACCUUAUUCAUAACUAUAAUUCCUGGUUAGUAUUUUAAACGGUAUGUGUUUCUUAUUAUUUUUAUAGCUCUAUAAUAAAAUCUGCAAUUAUAUUUAAACAUAUAUAUAUCUUAUAAUAAAAUGAGAUAUAGCAUAUUGAAACUCCGUUAAUGUUAUUAUAUUUAAAAUACACCCAACGGUGGGUUUUUAUUUCACUUUAACCCUCCUACUCCAAGCUGGUAUCCACAUGAGCUCCAGGGGACUCGGCUCACUUGCCCCAUUUCUGCUUUAAUCCUUGUCUUCUGGAGCCCCCUUCUGGCCUCACUCUGCUUCCCCCGGUGCAGCCGGAGGAGUAAGAGUUCGCCUUGUAAAUAACUCGUCCCUCCUAGGCCCCAGCUGCCGCUGCUUUCGUUCCCUUUUGUCCGUAAAUCACCGCUGGCGCUAGCCCGAGGGGCUGUUCCAUGACUGCGGCGGUGGGAAUGUCGGACCCGCCCGGGGUUGCCUUUGCUUGGGAGGUUCCGGACCCUGGCACCAGCGUCCCGGCCCGCCGCCGCCUCCAGGAGCACCCGGGCCAGGCCUCUUCCCGUGCGCACCUCCCCGGAGUGCGUCCUGUAAACAGCCAUGGCCACGGGAAACGCCAUCAGAUACCUCCAGCAGGAAACCACUUGAGCUAUCUGCUUGGAUUUCUUCCAGGAUCCUGUCAUGAUCCUCAGCUGUGGCCACAAUUUCUGCCGGCGCUGCCUGUUGCAGUGUGUGGCAGGCCGCGCUCCAUGCCCAUAGUGCCAGGUGUCAUUUCCACAUGGUGGUGAUGCCUCAGAAUAGGUGGACAAAACAGUGCCUUCUGUAGCUGGGGACCAAGGACAACCGAUCCAAAUCUCAGACCCCAAAGCAUAAAUGAUGGUAGAAAUGAGAGGAAAACAAGAAGAAUGGUACUUCCAAACCUAAAGCCAUAAUUGGACAAUCAACUCCAAUAUGCUCCAAUUGGAUAUCCAAUAUCCAAUCAACUCCAGAACUUAUAAAAGUGAGCGAUCUGGUGAUCAGUCGUCCAUUUUGUGACAAUUUUGUAUUCAUCUUGGGUGUAGCCCUGGCUGGGCUCUUGUGCUGCCCAAGGUGUA
This is an RNA transcript of Motacilla alba alba, 2859 nucleotides long. It is a transcript of the gene named tripartite motif-containing protein 15-like, with no coding region annotated. The transcript has 9 exons. The record is from RefSeq and is a predicted model, not a curated record. Lineage: Eukaryota; Metazoa; Chordata; Aves; Passeriformes; Motacillidae.